This 76-nucleotide transfer RNA is filed under the name Myxococcales bacterium. Its description in RNAcentral is "tRNA-Gly". It matches the Rfam family "tRNA". From Rfam's summary of the family: Transfer RNA (tRNA) molecules are approximately 80 nucleotides in length. Their secondary structure includes four short double-helical elements and three loops (D, anti-codon, and T loops). Lineage: Bacteria; Pseudomonadati; Myxococcota; Myxococcia; Myxococcales. The record is from RNAcentral. RNAcentral also lists the same sequence under 1 other name.
GCGGGUGUAGCUCAGUUGGUAGAGCGCCAGCUUGCCAUGCUGGCUGUCGCGAGUUCGAGUCUCGUCACCCGCUCCA